GAAGCGGUUGACACGGAGCCAAAACCUAACCCUAAUCCUUCAAAUUUUGGUGGAGAAAUGUCAGAGGGAAAACCAAGAAGCAAAUCAAUUUGGGGAGAGAUGGUUUGACUCACAAUAUGCUGAAUGAUAUUCAUAACCAUUGGAAACAUGAAGAAGCAGUGAGGAUAAAAUGUCAAGGUGGUCCAACUAUUGACAUGAGAAAUGUUUGCACCCAGCUCGAGGAGCUUUGUUUUUGUUACUGUUGGAACAAUUAAGGUUCAGA
Molecule: long non-coding RNA, 262 nt
Organism: Rosa chinensis
Lineage: Eukaryota; Viridiplantae; Streptophyta; Magnoliopsida; Rosales; Rosaceae
Exons: 3
Source: RefSeq, a predicted model, not a curated record